AGGGUCGCCCUUGCUCGAGCCGUUACCACCGAAUUAGAUAGAACUUUAGAUUCGGUCACAGCUGCUGCGG
Molecule: non-coding RNA, 70 nt
Filed under: Chloropicon mariensis
Lineage: Eukaryota; Viridiplantae; Chlorophyta; Chloropicophyceae; Chloropicales; Chloropicaceae
Source: RNAcentral